This is a long non-coding RNA of Homo sapiens (human), 1159 nucleotides long. Ensembl annotates it as long intergenic non-protein coding RNA 348. The record is from Ensembl. NCBI's taxonomy places the organism in Eukaryota, Metazoa, Chordata, Mammalia, Primates, Hominidae.
ACUCUCGUCGCCAUUUUGUUUUUGGUGGUUUUUGUCUGGCUUCUUUACCGCAACCUGUUUUAUCAGCAAAGUCUUUAUAACCUGUAUUUUGUGCUGACCUCCUAUCUCAUCCUGUGACUUAGAAUGCCUUAACAACUGUCUGGAAUGCAGCCCGCUACUGAGUGAUGAUGUUCUUUCUAUACAUCCCAAGCGUUCUGUACAUCUAUGCAUCCCAAGUGCAUCAAGAUGGACCAGGUUGUCAGCAUGUUCAGAGUAAACAUGAAGAUUUAUGAUGUGCAUCUAAUGCCUGGUUUGGGGUCUGCACCAUGUUGGAGUCCAAGACUCAAGUGGGCUUUCCUGGGUAAAGAUUGCUCCCACAUAAUCUACAAUUUGCAGAUAUUUCAUGAUUCUGAAGAAGAAUUGGAGGUGAGACUUGAGAAAAUGGAGAAAAAGAUAUGCUUUGGAUUUUCUUGAAGACUAGAAGCUUUCUUAACCAUCCACCACCUUGUUGACUGGUUAUUAUUCUCUCUACCUUCUGUGAAACAAACUGAUGGAUACUAAUGGCACAAUUACACUUAUAGCUAGUCAGUUGCAUAGUUUAUGCACAUAGUUCUGCUUCCAGUGUUUAGUAAUGAGUUAAACAUUUUGGCUAUAUUUGUCUCUGAAGCUAUAAUUUCAAUUAAUCAUUAUGUAUAGCAAUAAUAACAAGUAAAACAAAAAGAAGAAUUUUUUGUUUCUAUGGUAAUUAUGUUGGGUGCUUUGGAUCCUCCCAAUAAAGUUGACUUCCUAAAAUAAUUACACUUGAAUUAGGUAUAGAGAAGCUAAUUGUAACAAAUUGAAAGUUACUGUAAAUCUUCUAAUCGUAGUUCUCUGCAAGUGUACUUAAGUUAUUGCUCCACUUGAAAUAAAUGAAAACUGGAAAUCUGAGGUGAUGAAUUAUGGGUCCCUUUUAUGUAAGAAAGAUGACAAGGAAAUCUAAUCUGCUGAGUUAUACUAAAAUAAAAUACCUUGGCCUGGGAUCAAAUAUAGGUGAAAGAAUUAACAUUUAUGUUUUUUAAUUAAGAUAAAAUGUACAAGUUUUAUGUACAUAUUUUAUGAUUUCCUGAUAUAACAAAAAGUGUUGAUAAAAGCACCCAAUACUGAUUCUAAUGACAUUUGAUUAGCAUUAAAGAGUUGCUAU